This 375-nucleotide ribosomal RNA is filed under the name uncultured bacterium. RNAcentral describes it as "bacterial SSU rRNA". It matches the Rfam family "Bacterial small subunit ribosomal RNA", at positions 523 to 898 of the family's 1533-position model. The record is from RNAcentral.
AUACGUAGGGAGCGAGCGUUGUCCGGAAUUAUUGGGCGUAAAGGGUGCGUAGGCGGUCCUUUAAGUCAGAUGUGAAAGACCACAGCUUAACUGUGGGAUUGCAUUUGAAACUGGGGGACUUGAGUAUCGGAGAGGGUAGUGGAAUUCCCGGUGUACCGGUGAAAUGCGUAGAUAUCGGGAGGAACACCAGUGGCGAAGGCGACUACCUGGACGAAAACUGACGCUGAGGCACGAAAGCUAGGGUAGCAAACAGGAUUAGAUACCCUGGUAGUCCUAGCUGUAAACGAUGGGUACGAGGUGUAGGGGUUUCGAUACCUCUGUGCCGCAGUUAACGCAAUAAGUACCCCGCCUGGGGAGUACGUACGCAAGUAUGAA